This 164-nucleotide non-coding RNA is filed under the name Loxodonta africana (African savanna elephant). RNAcentral describes it as "Eukaryotic small subunit ribosomal RNA". It matches the Rfam family "Eukaryotic small subunit ribosomal RNA", at positions 1667 to 1823 of the family's 1831-position model. Lineage: Eukaryota; Metazoa; Chordata; Mammalia; Proboscidea; Elephantidae. The record is from Rfam by way of RNAcentral.
CACCACCCAUCACUACAACCAACUAGAUGGUUUAGUGAGGCCCUUGGCUCGGCCCUGCCAAGGUUGGCCCAUAGCCCUGGCAGAGCACUGAGAAGAUGGUCUAACUUGACUAUCUAGAGGAAGUAAAAUUCAUAACAAGGUUUCUGUAGGUGAAUAACCGGAAG